Molecule: transfer RNA, 85 nt
Filed under: Vibrio cholerae
Lineage: Bacteria; Pseudomonadati; Pseudomonadota; Gammaproteobacteria; Vibrionales; Vibrionaceae
Description: tRNA-Leu
Rfam family: tRNA
About the family: Transfer RNA (tRNA) molecules are approximately 80 nucleotides in length. Their secondary structure includes four short double-helical elements and three loops (D, anti-codon, and T loops).
Source: RNAcentral
GCCGAUGUGGUGAAAUUGGUAGACACGACGGAUUCAAAAUCCGUUUCCUUUGGGAGUGACGGUUCAAGUCCGUCCAUCGGUACCA